This 13166-nucleotide long non-coding RNA is filed under the name Vitis vinifera (wine grape). Its description in RNAcentral is "long non-coding RNA (VVIN_LNC005305)". Lineage: Eukaryota; Viridiplantae; Streptophyta; Magnoliopsida; Vitales; Vitaceae. The record is from RNAcentral.
UAAAUAUUUCCGUUCCAUGAAUGAGAGAAUAUUUCAAGAGUGUUACAGACAAAAGAUAACCUGAGCAUUAGUUCCCAUGUCUGGUGCAGGUAUAUCGGUAUGAGUUCCAAUAAGAUCAUGAAUCUUUUGAGUAAAGACACGAGUAAGACGUUCCAACUCGCUCAUACUCAAGUCCCUUGGGGUGCACCCAAUGCCACCCUUUGCACCACCAUAGGGAAUGUCAACUACAGCGGUCUUCCACGUCAUCAAUUGAGCCAGCGCAUUUACCUCAUCAGGAUCCACCUUUGAAAACAAAUGAAGAAACGUAUCAGUAAAACUAAAUGCAACCAGGUUUUUAUUUGCAAGAAAUCAAAGCAAACAAGUUUGAAGAUGAAAUAAUUCCUUCUAACUCAGCACCAACAAAAUUACGGGCGAACAACUUCUUGAAAGGAAAACAAAACAACUCAUUGAAUUUGAUUAUGCAAAUUGAGAACACACAAAUUAACAUAACAUCCAAAAUAGAAUUCAUCAUGCCACUCAUCAUUUAAAAUUCUAUAUCAAUAUCCAUAUCAUCCCAAAAAGAUUUUCGACUGUAUAAUAAUUAUCAGUUUUAUCGCAUAUUUCGGUUGGACCAUGUUUGCCAAAAUCAUUGAAAACAAUUUCCAAGAUUCAAAAAAAAAAAAAAAAAAUGCACAACCAACAUUUUGAUAUAGAAAUCUUGAACCUGAGAUUUCGAGAUAAUGAUCUUUGUACAAGAUACAAUAAGGGCAUGUUUGGAUCCAUCAUGAAAUGAAAUCAUUCCACUAUUCUUGCAUUUGAACAACUCCCUUUCCAUGGGACACCCAAAAACCACUUAGACAAAACCCAAAUCAACCGGAAAUUCCAAGAACCUAAAAGCAAACCCCCUAAACUCCGUUUGCUUGCCGAGAAAAUAGGGGGAAAAGACAAGAAAAAACAAACUACAAUCCUACAAUCCCGAAUCUCAUGUUCUGUGCUCCAAGAAAUUACAAAGUCAAGUAAGCCCCACAACAUACCUAGACUCUACUACCCUAACAAAAACAAAAAAUUUCAAAUCUCUCCUUUUCAUUCUCAACUUUUCUCAGCAAUCAAACAGGACAAAAUCCGAAAACAAACAAAAGAAUCAGUGAAUCACAAACCUAAGGGUGAUAUCUGAUCCCUCCCUUCAUGGGCCCACGAGCAUUAUCAUGCUGCACACGGAACCCCACAUACGUUGCCAAACUUCCAUCAUCCUUCGGGAUCGCGCACUCCACCUAACAACACCACCACCAAAAGAUCAAAAUUCUGGAAAAAAUUCUCAGGAAACAAACACAACCCAUGAACUCAAAAACAAGAUUCUGGCUAAAGAAAAUAAAUAAAUAAAUAAAUAAUUCCCGGGAAUCAAACAGAACCCAUGAACAAAAACCCCAGAAUUCCAACCUUGAUCUCUCUGAAAGAUAUCAGAAGACUCUUCUCCAGCUUGGAGUCCAACCCAAGAAUGCGGGAAGCAUGGCGAAAAUUGCGGUUAGUGGCUGCUAGAGCAUUCAUUGCCACAAAAACAAAACCCAGAAUAGAAAACGAUUGCUAGAAAAAGAAACAGACCCAGAAAAAAAAAAAAAAGAAAUGCAAGAAAAUGAAAGAAAAAAUUGGAGAAUUGAAGAGUAGAAAGAGAUUACAAUAGAAAUGUGAAUGAACUGACUGAUUGAUAGAAGUAGAGAGCAAGAGGGAGGGACCGGAGGAGGGCAGUUAAGGCGCUCAAGAUGGCAUGUCGGGCAGUUAAGGCGCUCCAGAUGGCAUGUUCAGGUUGUUACAAUCCCCUCUCGAUUAUGCAGAGCUGACUACACGUGCCCUUCCCGCUACCCAAAAUUACUAAAACACCCUUUUCCUUCCCAAACCUAUUUUCUAAUUUCUCUUUUCUAUUUUAAAAAUUAGAAGCUAAAAUGGAAAAUAAUCCUCACUUUAAAAAAUACCUUCAAUUUUUUUAAUUAUAAAUAUAAUAUUAAUUAAUUAUAAAAAAAUUAAUUUUUCAUUUAAAAAAGUGUCUUAAUAUAAAAAAAUAGAGGAUAUUUUAAGCCUCUAUAAAAUAUAUCUUAAUUUAAUUUUAAAUGGACAACAAACCCUUUUUAUUUUAUUUUAUAAAAUAAUGCUCUAUGAAAUAAAUGUGAAUUUAUUAGGGGGUAUUUCAUGCCCAGAAAAAAGUUAUUUUAAAAUUGAAUUUUUUUCAUUUAAAAAUUAUUUUAUUCAAUUUAAUCAAUUUUUUACUUUAACAAAGAUGGAAAAAGAGAGAGAUUAUUUUAGGAAAUAAAAAAUUGGGACCAUUUUGGUAAUUGUGUUUUAAAACGGUUUUGAAAAAUAGUUUUUAAGAACAGUUUUUAAAAAUCCUUUUUUGAUGUUUUGUAGAACAAAAGUCUGUUUUGAGAGCUUAAAAUGUUUAUAAUUUUUUUUAACCAAACUUUUAUUAGAACCAAACUUUUGUCCCAAUAGAAAAGAGACAAAAAAACAUACUAGAAUAAAUACCAGAUAUUAGAAUCACGGAUUUGUCAUUUUUCCUCAAAAAAUUUCAUUUUCCUCAUAAACUUCAACAAACGUUUGCAUCUUAAAGGGCUUUAAUCUUUGGAUGAUAACAAACCAUUUAUGCUAAAAUAGUCGUGAAGGACGUAAACAAAAGAGAAAACCAAAAGCAAUGGGGAAAAAAAAAUUCUGAAAACUGAGAUUCCGAGAUGGGAAAAAAAUAGGAAAGUGUAAAAAACUUUAUAUAAAACAAGCCAAAAAAAAGAUUGGGACCAACCUCAACCUUAAUGUUUUGUAACUCCAACAAUGUCUCUCUCACAGUGGUCCACUGGUGGGGCUAGGGUUUUGAAGAAAAAAAUUACAUAGAGAAUAAAACACGACAUGGGAAGUUGGGAAAGUAAACAAAAAUAGUAUAAAAAAUUAGGUUUUAUGUUUAUGUUGAUUGAUGGGGGCUAUUUUGAACAUUAGUUUUGGAAGAAACCCACUUUUAAUAGUAAGUUUACGAAGAAGCCCAUUUUGGCCCAAAACUCGCGAAUGGCUAUCUUAGCAAAAAAAAACUAAGUUUUGGGGCAAAAUAGCCCUUUCAUGUAAAGAAAUAUCAACUUUAGUCCCCUUAUAAAAUUUAUGUUCAAAUUAGCCAUUUUAUUGCCACAUAGAAGCCAUGUAAUAAUUUUUUUUUUUCCAAAUUUAAAUUGAAGCCUCAGUUGCCAAUUGAGGCUUCAGUUAUUUUAUUUUUUUUGCUUUAAAAUUUAAUUAAAAAUAUUAAAUUUUAAAUUAUUAUUGAAAUUUUAAAAAAAUAUACUUUAAUAAUAAAAAUUUACAUAUUUAAACUUAAAGAUCUAAUAUUACUUCAAUAAAGAUAAUUUGAUAAAUAUAAGAAAUAAAUAUUUUAUUUAUCAAUUAAUUAAUAAUCUUAAAAUAAUAAAUUUAUAUGACAUAUAAAUAAAAUAUAAAAUUAUAUAAUUUAUUAAUUUAAGUUAUAUCACAUGUAAUAUUAGGGAGGGACCUUUUUUUUCCAUUAUAUAAAUGUUUAAUGAGUUUUUUUUUUGUGACUUUGAUGAAACUACUAAAAAUUACAUUUUAUAGUAGUCUUUUUCUAAUUAAUUUUAUUAACUAAUUUCAAAAUGUAUCUUUAAGACAUAUAUAUUGUGUGCAUAAAUAAUAGUUUUUUUUUUACGUUAAAUUAUAAUAUAUGCUUUAAAAUAAUUAAAAAAAUCUAUAUAUGGAAACUUAAGAAUAUACUAAUAUUUCAAUAAAAAUAAAUUUAUAAAAAUACAAAUAAAUUAAUAUAUUAAAAAUACAACAAAUUAAAUAUCUUAAAUUAAUAAAUUAUAUAAUUUUAUAUCUUAUUUAGAUUUCAUAUAACUUUAUUAAUUUAUUGAUAAAUAAAAUAUUCAUUUAUUAUUAUAUUUAUUAAUUUAUCUUUAUUGAAGUAAUAUUACAUCUUUAAGUUUAAAUAUAUAAAUUUUUAUUAUUAAAAUAUAUUUUUUUAAUUUCAAUAAUAAUUUAUAAUUUAAUAUUUUUAAUUAAAUUUUAAAGUAAAAAUAAUAAUAAUAAUAAUAAUUAUAACUGAAGCCUCAAUUGCCAAUUGAGAAUUUAGUUAAAAAAUGAAGGCUCAAGGCUGAGACUUCAACUUAAAUUUUGAAAAAAAAAAAAUUAUGACAUGACUCUUAUGUGGCAAUAAAAGGGCUAAUUUGAACAUAAGUUUUGUAAGGGGGCUAAAACUGAUAUUUCUUUACACGAAAGGGCUAUUUUGCCCCAAAACUCAAAAAAGCUCACGUGUUUUGCCAUGUCUAUCCUGAUGACGUGGAUAUCUUAUUUUUAAAAUGGCAGUGUUGUCCCAAGUGGUUUCCUUUCUUUCUUUUUCUUUUUCUUUUUCUAAUAACCUUCCACGUUCACAGAUGAAAAGUUAUUGUUUAAUUAAAUAAUUUAAAUAGUUUAACUUUUAUUAAAUUUUAGCAAUACUUCUAGAAGUUUCUUCUUAAAAGUUUUAUAGAAAAUACAAGAGAAAAAAAAUAAAAACCCACCUUAAAUUUUUUUUUUUGUCAAAAUUAUUAUUUUAAAGUAAUAAUAAUAAUAUAAAAAAUAUCCAUUUAAAAAAGUAAAUUAAUACAUAAAUAUCAAAUAGAGCUUCUAAUUAAAAAUUAAGGAUGUGUUUGGUAAUUGUUUUCGAAAACAAUUUUGAAAAAUAGAUUUUUAGAACAGUUUUUGAAAGCUAUUCUCUGAUUUUUGUAGAACAACCCUGAAGUAUCUAGAGAUCUUGUACACUCAAGAUCUUCUGUUUGAUGACUUUAUCUCAAUCUUAGCACUUUAAAGGAUGGGUCUUUGGAAGAGAGGAUAGUAUGAUUCUCUUCUCUUUAGAGGUGGUUGAAACCCUAACCCUUAAGAGGUAUUUACAGGAUUCUCUAAUUAGGUUUAAGUGACUUAAACUCACUAAAGGCUUGGGUCACUUAAUUUAACCCAAAAUGGGUCCUAAUGAUUAAUUAACCUCACAAAGCCAUCUAAUUAAUUAAUUAAUUAUCUCAAUCCAGAGACUUGUUCACUAACCCAUUUGCAACCUCUCAUAAUUAUACCAAAGUGUUUUUAUGUACAAAAGUGAAUCUAGAGCUAAUCCAAUCCUCAUAAAUAGUGUCAUCAAGGUAUAUGAGUUCGAUGAGGAACCACUAGAGCCCAUAGGAAUACUAGCUUCCUCAAAAUCCAAUUUUGAAGUUGAUUCAAUACCCCAUUACAGAGAAUCAAUUACACUCCAAUACCCAAUAUAAAUAACAACGAGACAAAAACUCAGGUCUGUGACUUACUAUUUACUACAUGCAAACUGUCUAUGAACUAGUGUUCAUAAUAAAACAAGGUAGUGUUAUCACCUAUCAAGAUUACCUCUCCAAUAAUUGAGCCACAUAUCUCACUUAUUAUGCGAUUAAAUGACAUAUUGUAGUUUAUAAAAAGCUUAUGUCAAAUUCCACUUAAGGAAUUAUUGUGCGCCAUAGAUGUCCUAAUCGCAUGUCAUUUGGAUCACCCAAAGGAACACACUAUUACAAUCCCAUGAAAUAUCAUGGUGCCUCUAAUGAGCACACCUAUUACUUUCGGCUUCCAUCAAUAAUGACCCAAUCCAUGGGAAAUAUAUAAUCAACUCAUGAUUUCACUCGUAGGUCAAAGUCAUUACUAACUUUUACACAAGCUCAAUAUCUUUUCAAGGUUGAGAGUCCAUGCAGUAUAGUAGCUUGGUAAAUCAUGAUUAUCAAUAGUUUGCGUUAUGAUUUAUCAUAAGUCUUGUCUAAUGUGCAUCACAUACACUAGUGUUCUCACCAUGAAAAACUCAUCCCGAUGGCCAAGAUAAACUAUCUCUCUAAUUAGGAGGUGGUGUGCUACUACAAUCCAUGAACUAAUUGUGGACAACUUAUUUACUUACAAGAAACUCAUGAUUUGUAUCCUUUAUGUAACUUCUAGUGCACCUAAGUCAUGUACAAUAUAAGAAAUAUAGAUUGAAUGUUCUAAUCAAUGUCAACAUAUCCAAGGGAUAACAAUGGGAUAGUAAAAUCUAAUUUUGUUGUUGUUGGGAACUCUAAAUUACUCCAUUCCCAUGCCUUGGAUCGUAUAAGGUGCAUGCAAAUCUAUCAUAGGCUCUCUAAAUCUAUCACAACGGAUAAGCUUGUAUUCAAUAACAAUAUGGAUAUCAUAGAAAACAUACAUAUGGAGAAUAAAACCACAUACCUUUGAUCCAGAUAUUCCUAGAUCAAUUUCAAUCGAUGUAGAUAACUCUAAAGUCAUAAAGGGUCUCAUAAACACCAUGAUCUUCCUCCCGAUGACUCUUCCUUGUAUCUAGGCACUAAGAUAGUAGACAUCUCAAUGAUGGUUAUGGUUCUCUCUCCAGACUGAAGGGGAGAAUGGUAAGACUUAGAAACCCUAACCGUUAAAGGAGUAUUUAUAGACUUUUUAUUGGGUUUAAGUGACUUAAACCCACCAUGGGUUUGUGACACUUAAUUUAGCCUAAAAAGGUUGCUAAUUGAUUAAUUAACCAUAUAAAGCUUAAUUAAUCAAUUAGUUUAGUUCAAAGAUAUCACUAACUUAUCUCUUAUGCAACCUUACAUAAUUACCAAAACGCCCUUAUGCACAAAAAUGAACUAAAAACCCAUCCAACCAUCAUAAGUCGUACUAAUAAGGAAUAUGAGCUUAGAACGGGGACCAUUGGGACCUAUAGGAGUAUUGACUCCCUCAUAAUCAAAUUUUGAAAUUCACUCAACAUCCCAUUAUAGAGAGUUAAUUGUACUCUAAUAUCCUAAAUAUAUUACAACAAGACCUCAAGUGUUUUGGUUCGUGACCUACUAUCCACUGCAUACAGACUCCCCAUAAACUAGUAUCUAUAAUCUAAUAAGGUAGUGAUAUCACUUAUCAAGAUUACCUCUUAAAUCCUUGAGUUAUAGAUCCUAAUUAUUAUGUGAUUAGUUGACAUACUCUAACUCCAAGAUGCAUAUGUCAAAUUGCGUUAAAGGAAUUAUUGUGGCCAUAAAUUUCAUGAUCGCAUGUUCUUUGGAUCAUCUAAGGGAACACACUAUCUCAAUCCUAUGAGAUAUCAUUGUGUCUCUGUUGAGAAUACUUAUUGUCACCAACCUCCAUCAACAGUAACUCAAUCCAUAGGGAUAUUUGAUCACUUUAAGGUCUUACCCAUAAGUCAAAGCCUCUUAUUGAUUUUGACACAAACUCAAUAUCCUCUUCAAGUUGAGAGUCUAUGUAGUAUAAUAGCUUGGUGAAUCAUGACAAUUGAUAGUCUUGCGUCAUGAUUCACCAUAGGUCAUUUCCAAUGUGCAUCACAUACAUUAGUGCAUUCACCAGGAGAAACCUAUGACUUGCUGGAUUGCCCAAAUCCAUAGACCAACUAUGGACAACUUAUCUACUUACAAGGAACCCAUAACUUGUAUCUUCUGUGCAACUCUUAUUGCACCCAGGUCAUGUACAAUGUAAGAGACAUUGGUUGAAUGCUCAAAUUAAUAGCAAUACACCACAUGGAUAGCAAGGGGAUAGUUAAGUCUAACUUUGUUAUAUCAUGUCUUGCUUUUAAGGGCUAAAUCCUAACAAUUACAUCAUGUCUUGAUUUUAGGAACUCAAUUCCAACAAUAUACUAUCUCAACCCCAUGAUAUUAUGAUACCUUUAUUAAGAAUAUCUAUUACUAUAUGCUUAAACUACCAAUCACUAAAUCCAUAGGAAAUACAUGAUUAUAUUAGUAUCUCACUCGUAAGGUCAAAGUCGCUAAUGAAAAAACUAAUGCAACAUUCUCUUAAAGUUAAGAACUCAUGUAACAUAGUAGUUUGGAGAAGUUAUGUCAACCUGAUAGUCAUUCAAUCAUGACACUUCGUAGAACUUGUACAAUGUAACCAUACACACUAGUACAUAUACCAUGAGAAAACCCAUCUCGAUGACCAAGACUAGUGAUCCUACCAUUUUGGAGGUAAUGAAUUAUGGCUUCUAAGUUGUUAAAGUUUAUGAAUAUCAUCUUGUAAAGAACCCAUGACUUGGAUCUUCCAUACAACUCCUAGUGUAUUCAAGUCAUAUAAAAUAUAAAUGAUAUUGAACUAAAUGCUCGAACAAGUAAAUAAUCAAAUAGAUAAUGCAAAUAAGAUAGAAAAAUUAAUGCCAUAUAAAAUAAUGAAUCAAGUUUGCUAAAUCAUAUCUCUACUUUGAAGAGCUCUAUCCUAAUAGAUACACUAUUCACACCUAGGUAUGAACUUCUAACAAUUGAAUUUCAUGGUAUCAACACGUUAGAGUUGAGAAGGGUUUCAUGUGGAAGGACAUAUGGAGUGUGAAUGCUCUUGUUUUAUCUUAGUUGAUGUAGUGAAAGAUUACCUUUUGAUAUAUGCUUGCUUGGAUUUUUGGUCCAUCUCUAUCAAUGUGUGCUUUUCUGGAUUAGGAUGAUCACUUCUAUUCUUUUUUAUGUAAGUGUCCUAAUAAGGUUACUGAUUUUUAGCAAGGAAAUCCUUUCCAUUGCCUUAGGUUUUGCUUUCCUUAUUCCAUUUGCUUUUGGUGAUGCUAAGAAAACUAAUUACUCAUUCUCUAAUUAAUCCAACUAGAAUAAGAUAACCGGAUUUGUGUUUCACAUAGAAGAUGCUAUGUUACCAUCUACAGAAGGAUAAGGAUCCUCUGAAAAAGUCAUAUAGGAGAUAUGUAUCACUUGAUAACCCUUGGACUUUGUAAAAGGCAAUAAAAGGGGGGUUAGACAACAACAUAGGAUAAAAGAUUAAAAAAACAAAAAACAAAACAAAAGAGGAUAGAUGGGAGGGGAACAUUGUCUUACCUUAAUAACCCUCCUCCAAAGGCAUAAGGGGAAGGUUGUCCUUACUUAACGACCUUCUUAACCUCUUGUAGCUAGGAGACAUCCUUAUUCUCUCAUAUUUUUUUAAGAGCCAAGGAUCUCCAAGACAUCACACCCACCAUUUCCAUUGAGGAAAAUGUAUUAGGUUUUAAGUCUCUUGACCUAGUAGAAGAUAAGAAACUUCUCUAAAUCCACAUGGUAGCUUGGAGUCAUGUUCAUGACCACGACUGUCAUGAGAAGACUCACAAUAUCAGGAUUGAAUUGAUACAACAACACUCUCACAAAACUAAAGAAAAAAUACCUCACUAACGUUUGAAGCAGUAGCCAUAAUCCAAACUUCAAAUGCUCUAUUGGAAUGUAUCUCUUGACAACAUAUGGAGGCUAGAUUAAUUCCUCUGGAAACAACCAUAAAAACUUCACGGAGAAAAGGAUUUCUAAUUGUUGGUUUAACAUAAUAACAUCUCUAAAGGGAGUCAUAGGUGCUAUCUUGAAGACAAAAAAAAGUUAGAUAAAAUGGAGAAAAGUUGCAAGGAUAAAGGAAUAAGGGUAGAAGAAGGCAAGAAAGCAAAAUCACAAAAGUAGAAGAAGAAAAUCAAUAGAGAAACACCUUUUAUAUAGGUUGCCAAGUCAUAACCACUCCAAGAAUCAAGGCAAACACCCUUAUCAUGGCUUGCCUACUAAUCUCUUGGAAAAAGAAUCCAUUUGUCACAUUGACUUUUGAUUUUCCUGCAUGUUAAAUCCUAAAAGCAAGGAAAUAGGAGGUGAGAAGUUGUAGGAAAAAAAAAAUGAAAUGUGGAAACAAAAGGCAUAAGUGGCUAGUUAUCAGCAGAGGUAAUCGGGGGUGCCUAUUGAGUGGUGAAUUGGUCUAUAUCCUUGUACCAUCCAUCCUUAACAAGAAAGAUCUCUAACUCUUAGGAGCAUUUAAUGUGAUGUGAUAGAUAUUAAAUAUGAUUGGAUGAUACUCUCAUGGUUACAAAAUGUUUAAGGCCACACCCUAAACCGAGAAAUCUCUAAUCAUUAUCUAAUAUUGAGGUAUGGACAUUUAAGCACCGAUCAACCAUCGACAUGGUAACCACUCUUAACUAACUUAAACCCUUCCUUUAAAUACCUCUAAAGGCAUCAACAAUAAAGGUAGAAAAGAACCAUUCCAUUUCUCCCUUUGAUUUCUACUUAUCAUAACCUUGUUUUUUUCGGUGCACCAUAUGAUCGUUCGAGGUGUAGUGGUCAUUUUGCACCUACCCGCCCUUACCCCCACCUUGACUACCUUUUGUCCAUCCAUUAUAGUAGCAAGUCGACCUAGUAAUUCCUUUAACAAAUGUCUUCUUCAUUAAGGCAAUAAAGAGGAUACAACAAUAUCUAAUAUCAUUUAACCAAUAUUUUUACCUUAGAUAUAUGUAUCAUUUAAUUUUCAUUAUGGAGUCCAACAAGACUAUGUAUGCUAAAAAGAUUAGCAUGUUUGAUUGACUUGUUAGCACGAGUUAGGAUAAAAGAAGAGAUAACAUAUUAUAUCUUAUGUUCGGUUAACAAUGAGAUAUGAUAAGUUAUAUUCAACUUCAUUUUUUUGUAUCCUCUUUAAAUGAGAUAUAGUAAUUCCUAAGUUGAAAUAUGAAAUAUACAUAUUCCAUGGAUCAUAAGUUUUUUUUCUUUCAUCCAUUUUUUUUUCAUUUUUUAAAAGUAAAAUAUUUUGUAAAAUAAAAAAAAAAUGACUAAAAAAAUUAAAAUUUUAGUUUGGACAAAAAGAAUUUAAAAAAUACAUGUAGAAUAUUUUACUUAUAAGUUUUAAAUAUUUUAAUCAUAAAUAUUAUUAACAAAGAAAUAAAAUUUACUUAAUAAAUUAUAAACUUUAGAAAGAUUUCCAAAUGAUACCAAACAUGUUAGAAAUUUCAUAUAUUUUUUUCAAAGUAGCAAAGAUUGUUAUGAAAAACAUUUUUUAUUUUGAAAAACAAUUAAAACAUUGAAAUUUCAUUCUGUUGUUUAAUCCUUUUUUAAACCAAAUAAGAGAUCAAUCUAAUAUAUCUCAUCUAAUAUAAUAUCGUUUUUUUCUUCACAUAGGGUUUCUUUUCUUUCUUUGUUGAGAAGCUCCUCAUUGUGAAGUCCUGAUCAAUCCCUCAUUUUGCCAAGACUCCAAGACUUGUUAAGAAAGAAAACAGAGCUCAAAAGAAAUUAACUCAAAAUCUCACAUCACAUUGUUGAUAAUAUCAAGUGUUUUUUUUUUUUCAUUGAAAUGAUGAAUUUCAAAUGUUUACAACACCCAUCAAUGUGUGGGGGAGAAGUUCAUGAUUGACAAAGAAAAAUAAUGAGACUUUGAUGGAAGGUAAUGACCGAAACCAAUCUGCUUCUUCAGCUGUAACAAGGGAACAUAUCCAAAGAAGAUGAAUAAGAACCAACCUAAGCUUCCCAACCCCUUAGCGUUGUGGCACACGCAACUCGAUUCACUGCCAAUGUGAAGGCUCCCAUUCGAAGACUGCAGUUGUGCGAUUGACACAUUGCCUUAAUGUUAUGAAAAGCUUUGGUCAUGUACUUCUGAAGCUCAUUAUUCACCUUCUCUUCUUCCCACAUAAAACCUUGAAUAUUCUGCCAACAUAAAACCAUUAAUCCUAAGAUGUUACUACUACUUUUCCUAUCAAUUAUCUAUGUUUCAAACGAUAUAAUUCAUUGUAAAAUCCAUCAUAUAUAAGAAAUAUAGAGGGAAUUACCUGAACCCACUCAAAAUAGCUCACAGUCACACCUCCAGCAUUAGCAUAGAUGUCGGGAAGGAUUACAACUCCCUUCUUGGAUAGAAUCUGCAGAGACAAUAUAUCAUCAAUGCCAACUUCUUUCCUCUAUGGCAUUUAAGUAUGCACCAUAAACACUAUGUUACCUCAUCAGCUUCUGGAUCAGUAGGAUGAUUUGCUGCUUCUAUUAUGAACUUUGCCUUAACAUCCGCAGCAUUUUCUCUUCAGAGGGGAAAAAACAUGAAUGAGGUUAGAUGAAAUCAUCUGGAUGAGUUAGGUUAAAGGAAGUAAAAUCAUGCCCUUUUCCACUUUUUACCAUCAAAAGAUUUGUGGUUUCUAACCUGAAAAACGAUUGGAUAUUCACUUAAUAACUAAAUACAGCACAAGCACAUUUCAUGAAACUUCUGCCCACAAUAAAAGGGUAACAGAACACAUGUAACAUCUUUACCUAAACAUUGGCAAUUCAUCGUAUGGCAAUUUGAUACAAUUGCAGCAUUCUGAUUCGAUCUUUCAGAUUCAACAUAGUAUCUCAAACAGAGUUGCAUCAUGUUUCUUCAUGGUAUUGAGAUGUGUCUACUUCAUUUUAUGUGUAUGUUCAUUGUUUUUAUGAUCUUAAUGUAUGGAAAAGACAAGUUUCUCAAUUCAAAAAAGGCAUAUGUCAAAAGAAACCCAAAACAAAAAAGGCACCAAGUAAAGAAUGAAACUGAAAGGCAAGGACCAAGUUUCUGAGGAAAACAAGGACUCAACUUGUUAAGAACUCCACCUAGAGCACAUGGGAUGAGAACAUCACAUUCAUGUGUGAGCAGUUCAUUCGGAUCCAUGUGAUCUCCGCCACUGAAAUUCGUUAGACAACCAGUCUCUUCUUUGUGCCUAAGCAAAUCCACUAUAUCAAGCCCAUUUUGGUUCUUAACAGCUCCAGUGACGUCGCUCACCGCUAUGAUUUUACCACCUCUCUCACCGAUGAGUCUUGCUACCCAAGAUCCAACAUUGCCAAAACCCUGAAAAGUUUUUUUAUUUUCCAUUUAAAUAACCCAACUUUCUAAGCAUCAAGAACAGAAAUAGAAAGGAUUUAAUCCAAUAUUUUACCUGAAUAACAAAUGUCAAACCCUUGAUUGACUUCCCAUGUUGCGCAAGUAAAGCUUCAGUUGCGAAAACAACACCUCGACCAGUUGCAGCCUCCCUACCGAGGGAUCCACCAAGAGCCUAAAAGCCCAAAUGUAAAUGAGUCCAAAGAACAAGAAACAACAGUUACAAAUUUUGUUUCUCGACUUCAAAGGUUUACACAAAUCUAAAUCAUAGAUGCUCGGUUUUUUGUCGCAAAUACUUACUAUUGGCUUUCCAGUCACUACGGCCGGUGAGUGACCAUGGAAUUUUGAGUACUCGUCCAAAAUCCAUGCCAUAGUCUGCCCAUAUUUAUAAAUAUUUCAGCUUCAUGAAUGAGAGAAUAUUUCAAGAGUGUUACAGACAAAAGAUAACCUGAGCAUUAGUUCCCAUGUCCGGUGCAGGUACAUCAGUAUGAGUUCCAAUAAGAUCAUGAAUCUUUUGAGUAAAGACACGAGUGAGACGUUCCAACUCGCUCAUACUCAAGUCCUUUGGGGUGCACCCAAUGCCACCCUUUGCACCACCAUAGGGAAUGUCGACUACGGCGGUCUUCCAUGUCAUC